GAGCCGACAUGGUGUAGUGGUUUGAGUGUUGGACUAUGACUCUGGAGACCAGGGUUCAAUUCCCAGCUUGACUCU
Molecule: transfer RNA, 75 nt
Filed under: Phrynosoma platyrhinos (Desert horned lizard)
Lineage: Eukaryota; Metazoa; Chordata; Lepidosauria; Squamata; Phrynosomatidae
Description: tRNA-OTHER
Source: RNAcentral